GACGAACGCUGGCGGCGUGCUUAACACAUGCAAGUCGAACGGAAAGGCCCUGCUUUUGUGGGGUGCUCGAGUAGCGAACGGGUGAUUAACACGUGAGUAACCUGCCCUUGACGUUGGGAUAACUACAGGAAACUGGGGCUAAUACCGGAUAUGCGGUCGUGAUGGAUGGUGGGGGUGGGAAAGUGUCGGCGGUUGGGGAUGGACGCGCGGCUUAUCAGCUUGUUGGUGGGGUAGUGGCUUACCAAGGCGUGGACGGGUAGCCGGACUGAGAGGGUGACCGGCCCCAUUGGGACUGGGGAACGACCCAUGCUCCUUCGGGAGGCAGGGGUGGGGAAUUUUGCACAACGGGCGGCAGCCAGAAGGAGCACCGCCGCGUGCGGGAUUACGGCUUUACGGUUGUAAACCGCUUUCGCCUGUAAAGAGGCGUGAGUGCCGGUAAUGAAGAAAGAAGCACCGGCUACUUCCGU
RNAcentral lists this ribosomal RNA (467 nucleotides) under uncultured bacterium. Its description in RNAcentral is "partial 16S ribosomal RNA". It matches the Rfam family "Bacterial small subunit ribosomal RNA", at positions 28 to 506 of the family's 1533-position model. The record is from RNAcentral.